GUACUCGCUUCGGCGGUACUUAUACUAAAAUUGGAACGAUACAGAGAAGAUUAGCAUGGCCCCUACUCAAGGAUGACACGCAAAAUCGUGAAGCGUUCCAAAAAUUU
RNAcentral lists this small nuclear RNA (107 nucleotides) under Rhodnius prolixus. The record is from RNAcentral. Lineage: Eukaryota; Metazoa; Arthropoda; Insecta; Hemiptera; Reduviidae.